This 525-nucleotide ribosomal RNA is filed under the name Pedococcus dokdonensis. Its description in RNAcentral is "bacterial SSU rRNA". It matches the Rfam family "Bacterial small subunit ribosomal RNA", at positions 89 to 628 of the family's 1533-position model. Lineage: Bacteria; Bacillati; Actinomycetota; Actinomycetes; Micrococcales; Intrasporangiaceae. The record is from RNAcentral.
GGAUCAGUGGCGAACGGGUGAGUAACACGUGAGUAACCUGCCCCAGACUCUGGAAUAACCCCGGGAAACCGGAGCUAAUACCGGAUACGAGACGAAGCUGCAUGGCUAUCGUCUGGAAAGUUUUUCGGUCUGGGAUGGACUCGCGGCCUAUCAGCUUGUUGGUGAGGUAAUGGCUCACCAAGGCGACGACGGGUAGCCGGCCUGAGAGGGCGACCGGCCACACUGGGACUGAGACACGGCCCAGACUCCUACGGGAGGCAGCAGUGGGGAAUAUUGCACAAUGGGCGAAAGCCUGAUGCAGCGACGCCGCGUGAGGGAUGACGGCCUUCGGGUUGUAAACCUCUUUCAGCAGGGAAGAAGCGAAAGUGACGGUACCUGCAGAAGAAGCACCGGCUAACUACGUGCCAGCAGCCGCGGUAAUACGUAGGGUGCGAGCGUUGUCCGGAAUUAUUGGGCGUAAAGAGCUUGUAGGCGGUUUGUCGCGUCUGCCGUGAAAAUCCGAGGCUCAACCUCGGACUUGCGGUG